Molecule: ribosomal RNA, 492 nt
Filed under: uncultured bacterium
Lineage: Bacteria
Description: partial 16S ribosomal RNA
Rfam family: Bacterial small subunit ribosomal RNA
Source: RNAcentral
AGUGAACGCUGGCGGUAGGCCUAACACAUGCAAGUCGAGCGGCAGCACAGUAAGAGCUUGCUCUUACGGGUGGCGAGUGGCGGACGGGUGAGGAAUACAUCGGAAUCUACUUUUUCGUGGGGGAUAACGUAGGGAAACUUACGCUAAUACCGCAUACGACCUACGGGUGAAAGCAGGGGAUCUUCGGACCUUGCGCGAUUGAAUGAGCCGAUGUCGGAUUAGCUAGUUGGCGGGGUAAAGGCCCACCAAGGCGACGAUCCGUAGCUGGUCUGAGAGGAUGAUCAGCCACACUGGAACUGAGACACGGUCUAGACUCCUACGGGAGGCAGCAGUGGGGAAUAUUGGACAAUGGGCGCAAGCCUGAUCCAGCCAUACUGCGUGGGUGAAGAAGGCCUUCGGGUUGUAAAGCCCUUUUGUUGGGAAAGAAAAGCAGCAGGUUAAUACCCCGCUGUUCUGACGGUACCCAAAGAAUAAGCACCGGCUAACUUCGUG